CGCCUGUUUAUUAAAAACAUGGUUUUUAAAAUUAUUUAAAAAUUUUACCUGCCCAUUGAUUUAUUAAUUAAAAGGCCGCAGUAUUUUGACUGUGCUAAGGUAGCAUAAUCAUUAGGUUUUUAAUUGAGAUCUGGUAUGAAUGGUUUAAUGAGAUAUAAGCUUUUUUAUUUUUAUUAUUUGAAUUUUAUAAAUUAGUUAAAAUGCUAAUUUUUGGAAAAGGGACGAGAAGACCCUAUAGAAUUUUAUAAUUAUUUUAAUUUAUUAAUUUUAUAACUUAUUUAUUAUUUAAUUGGGGAGAUUAUUAAAUUUAAUUAACUUUAAUUUUUAAAAUCAUAAAUUUAUGUUUUUAUGAUCUUUUUAUAUUGAUUAAAAAAUUAAAUUACCUUAGGGAUAACAGCAUAAUAAUUUUAAGAAGUUCUUAUUUUUAAAAUAGUUUAUGACCUCGAUGUUGGAUUAAAA
Molecule: ribosomal RNA, 459 nt
Filed under: Taxodiomyia cupressiananassa
Lineage: Eukaryota; Metazoa; Arthropoda; Insecta; Diptera; Cecidomyiidae
Description: partial large subunit ribosomal RNA
Rfam family: Archaeal large subunit ribosomal RNA (bases 1-152)
Source: RNAcentral